RNAcentral lists this ribosomal RNA (501 nucleotides) under uncultured bacterium. RNAcentral describes it as "partial 16S ribosomal RNA". It matches the Rfam family "Bacterial small subunit ribosomal RNA", at positions 29 to 523 of the family's 1533-position model. The record is from RNAcentral.
AUUGAACGCUGGCGGCAUGCCUUACACAUGCAAGUCGAACGGCAGCACGGGUGCUUGCACCUGGUGGCGAGUGGCGAACGGGUGAGUAAUACAUCGGAACGUACCAUAUCGUGGGGGAUAACGCAGCGAAAGCUGUGCUAAUACCGCAUACGCCCUGAGGGGGAAAGCGGGGGAUCGCAAGACCUCGCGCGAUUAGAGCGGCCGAUGCCUGAUUAGCUUGUUGGUGGGGUAAAAGCCCACCAAGGCGACGAUCAGUAGCUGGUCUGAGAGGACGAUCAGCCACACUGGGACUGAGACACGGCCCAGACUCCUACGGGAGGCAGCAGUGGGGAAUUUUGGACAAUGGGGGCAACCCUGAUCCAGCAAUGCCGCGUGAGUGAAGAAGGCCUUCGGGUUGUAAAGCUCUUUUGUCAGGGAAGAAACACCGGCUCUAACACAGUCUGGGAAUGACGGUACCUGAAGAAUAAGCACCGGCUAACUACGUGCCAGCCGCCGCGGUAA